RNAcentral lists this ribosomal RNA (442 nucleotides) under uncultured bacterium. RNAcentral's name for it is "bacterial SSU rRNA". It matches the Rfam family "Bacterial small subunit ribosomal RNA", at positions 354 to 796 of the family's 1533-position model. The record is from RNAcentral.
GUGGGGAAUAUUGCACAAUGGGGGAAACCCUGAUGCAGCGACGCCGCGUGAGUGAAGAAGUAUUUCGGUACGUAAAGCUCUAUCAGCAGGGAAGAAAAAAAGUCCUUUGGACUUUGGACGGUACCUGACCAAGAAGCCCCGGCUAACUACGUGCCAGCAGCCGCGGUAAUACGUAGGGGGCAAGCGUUAUCCGGAUUUACUGGGUGUAAAGGGAGCGUAGACGGCAGCGCAAGUCUGGAGUGAAAUGCCGGGGCCCAACCCCGGAACUGCUUUGGAAACUGUGCAGCUCGAGUGCAGGAGAGGUAAGCGGAAUUCCUAGUGUAGCGGUGAAAUGCGUAGAUAUUAGGAGGAACACCAGUGGCGAAGGCGGCUUACUGGACUGUAACUGACGUUGAGGCUCGAAAGCGUGGGGAGCAAACAGGAUUAGAAACCCUAGUAGUCC